UCUGGUGAUUAUAGAGCGGAUGAAACCCUCUGUUCCAUUCCGAACCAGACAGGGAAAAGCCGUAUCGCCGAUGGUACUUUGGCUUAAGCCACGGAAGAGUAGGUCGUCGCCAGAA
RNAcentral lists this ribosomal RNA (115 nucleotides) under Alphaproteobacteria bacterium. The record is from RNAcentral. Lineage: Bacteria; Pseudomonadati; Pseudomonadota; Alphaproteobacteria.